This 69-nucleotide transfer RNA is filed under the name Prays oleae. RNAcentral's name for it is "tRNA-Thr". It matches the Rfam family "tRNA". From Rfam's summary of the family: Transfer RNA (tRNA) molecules are approximately 80 nucleotides in length. Their secondary structure includes four short double-helical elements and three loops (D, anti-codon, and T loops). Further hydrogen bonds mediate the characteristic L-shaped molecular structure. tRNAs have two regions of fundamental functional importance: the anti-codon, which is responsible for specific mRNA codon recognition, and the 3' end, to which the tRNAs corresponding amino acid is attached (by aminoacyl-tRNA synthetases). tRNAs cope with the degeneracy of the genetic code in two manners: having more than one tRNA (with a specific anti-codon) for a particular amino acid; and 'wobble' base-pairing, i.e. permitting non-standard base-pairing at the 3rd anti-codon position. Lineage: Eukaryota; Metazoa; Arthropoda; Insecta; Lepidoptera; Praydidae. The record is from RNAcentral.
AGUUUUUAUAGUUUAAACCAAAACAUUGGUCUUGUAAACCAAAAUUAAGAAUUUUUCUUUAAAAACUUC